UCCCUCCACAUUCUUUACCCAGUAGGUCUAAGCAUUGAUCUGAGUAGCUAUGAAAGGAGGAAGAGUAAAACUGAAACAGAUUUGGAUUCUUUAACAAUAUACGAGUUUAUUUCAAACAACA
Molecule: small nucleolar RNA, 121 nt
Filed under: Echinops telfairi (small Madagascar hedgehog)
Lineage: Eukaryota; Metazoa; Chordata; Mammalia; Afrosoricida; Tenrecidae
Description: Small nucleolar RNA SNORA61 (ENSETEG00000024783.1)
Source: RNAcentral